GUCGAACGAACUCUGGUAUUGAUUGGUGCUUGCAUCAUGAUUUACAUUUGAGUGAGUGGCGAACUGGUGAGUAACACGUGGGAAACCUGCCCAGAAGCGGGGGAUAACACCUGGAAACAGAUGCUAAUACCGCAUAACAACUUGGACCGCAUGGUCCGAGUUUGAAAGAUGGCUUCGGCUAUCACUUUUGGAUGGUCCCGCGGCGUAUUAGCUAGAUGGUGGGGUAACGGCUCACCAUGGCAAUGAUACGUAGCCGACCUGAGAGGGUAAUCGGCCACAUUGGGACUGAGACACGGCCCAAACUCCUACGGGAGGCAGCAGUAGGGAAUCUUCCACAAUGGACGAAAGUCUGAUGGAGCAACGCCGCGUGAGUGAAGAAGGGUUUCGGCUCGUAAAACUCUGUUGUUAAAGAAGAACAUAUCUGAGAGUAACUGUUCAGGUAUUGACGGUAUUUAACCAGAAAGCCACGGCUAACUACGUGCCAGCAGCCGCGGUAAUACGUAGGUGGCAAGCGUUGUCCGGAUUUAUUGGGCGUAAAGCGAGCGCAGGCGGUUUUUUAAGUCUGAUGUGAAAGCCUUCGGCUCAACCGAAGAAGUGCAUCGGAAACUGGGAAACUUGAGUGCAGAAGAGGACAGUGGAACUCCAUGUGUAGCGGUGAAAUGCGUAGAUAUAUGGAAGAACACCAGUGGCGAAGGCGGCUGUCUGGUCUGUAACUGACGCUGAGGCUCGAAAGUAUGGGUAGCAAACAGGAUUAGAUACCCUGGUAGUCCAUACCGUAAACGAUGAAUGCUAAGUGUUGGAGGGUUUCCGCCCUUCAGUGCUGCAGCUAACGCAUUAAGCAUUCCGCCUGGGGAGUACGGCCGCAAGGCUGAAACUCAAAGGAAUUGACGGGGGCCCGCACAAGCGGUGGAGCAUGUGGUUUAAUUCGAAGCUACGCGAAGAACCUUACCAGGUCUUGACAUACUAUGCAAAUCUAAGAGAUUAGACGUUCCCUUCGGGGACAUGGAUACAGGUGGUGCAUGGUUGUCGUCAGCUCGUGUCGUGAGAUGUUGGGUUAAGUCCCGCAACGAGCGCAACCCUUAUUAUCAGUUGCCAGCAUUAAGUUGGGCACUCUGGUGAGACUGCCGGUGACAAACCGGAGGAAGGUGGGGAUGACGUCAAAUCAUCAUGCCCCUUAUGACCUGGGCUACACACGUGCUACAAUGGAUGGUACAACGAGUUGCGAACUCGCGAGAGUAAGCUAAUCUCUUAAAGCCAUUCUCAGUUCGGAUUGUAGGCUGCAACUCGCCUACAUGAAGUCGGAAUCGCUAGUAAUCGCGGAUCAGCAUGCCGCGGUGAAUACGUUCCCGGGCCUUGUACACACCGCCCGUCACACCAUGAGAGUUUGUAACACCCAAAGUCGGUGGG
Molecule: ribosomal RNA, 1407 nt
Filed under: Lactiplantibacillus plantarum
Lineage: Bacteria; Bacillati; Bacillota; Bacilli; Lactobacillales; Lactobacillaceae
Description: bacterial SSU rRNA
Rfam family: Bacterial small subunit ribosomal RNA
Source: RNAcentral